Molecule: ribosomal RNA, 492 nt
Filed under: uncultured bacterium
Lineage: Bacteria
Description: partial 16S ribosomal RNA
Rfam family: Bacterial small subunit ribosomal RNA
Source: RNAcentral
AGUGAACGCUGGCGGUAGGCCUAACACAUGCAAGUCGAACGGCAGCACAGUAAGAGCUUGCUCUUACGGGUGGCGAGUGGCGGACGGGUGAGGAAUACAUCGGAAUCUACUUUUUCGUGGGGGAUAACGUAGGGAAACUUACGCUAAUACCGCAUACGACCUACGGGUGAAAGCAUGGGAUCUUCGGACCUUGCGCGAUUGAAUUAGCCGAUGUCGGAUUAGCUAGUUGGCGGGGUAAAGGCCCACCAAGGCGACGAUCCGUAGCUGGUCUGAGAGGAUGAUCAGACAAACUGGAACUGAGACACGGUACAGACGCCUACGGGAGGCAGCAGUGGGGAAUAUUGGACAAUGGGCGCAAGCCUGAUCCAGCAAUACCGCGUGGGUGAAGAAGGACUUCGGGUUGUAAAGCCCUUUUGUUGGGAAAGAAAAGCAGCAGGUUAAUACCCCGCUGUUCUGACGGUACCCAAAGAAUAAGCACCGGCUAACUUCGUG